RNAcentral lists this ribosomal RNA (253 nucleotides) under uncultured bacterium. Its description in RNAcentral is "partial 16S ribosomal RNA". It matches the Rfam family "Bacterial small subunit ribosomal RNA", at positions 524 to 776 of the family's 1533-position model. The record is from RNAcentral.
UACGAAGGGGGCUAGCGUUGUUCGGAAUUACUGGGCGUAAAGCGCGCGUAGGCGGGUUUGCAAGUCGAUUGUGAAAGCCCUGGGCUCAACCUGGGAAUUGCAGUCGAAACUGUAAAUCUUGAGUGCCUGAGAGGAUGGCGGAAUUCCCGGUGUAGUAGUGAAAUACGUAGAUAUCGGGAAGAACACCUGAGGCGAAGGCGGCUAUCUGGCGGUGCACUGACGCUGAGGCGCGAAAGCGUGGGGAGCAAACAGG